This 475-nucleotide ribosomal RNA is filed under the name uncultured bacterium. RNAcentral's name for it is "bacterial SSU rRNA". It matches the Rfam family "Bacterial small subunit ribosomal RNA", at positions 9 to 501 of the family's 1533-position model. The record is from RNAcentral.
GAGUUUGAUCGUGGCUCAGGACGAACGCUGGCGGCACGCUUAACACAUGCAAGUCGAACGGUGAAGAGAAGCUUGCUUCUCGGAUCAGUGGCGGACGGGUGAGUAACACGUGAGCAACCUGCCUUUAAGAGGGGGAUAACGUUUGGAAACGAACGCUAAUACCGCAUAAUAUAGAAGAUUCGCAUGUUUCUUCUAUCAAAGAUUUAUCGCUUAAAGAUGGGCUCGCGUCUGAUUAGCUGGUUGGUGAGGUAACGGCUCACCAAGGCGACGAUCAGUAGCCGUACUGAGAGGUAGAACGGCCACAUUGGGACUGAGACACGGCCCAGACUCCUACGGGAGGCAGCAGUGGGGAAUAUUGCACAAUGGAGGAAACUCUGAUGCAGCGAUGCCGCGUGAGGGAAGAAGGUUUUCGGAUUGUAAACCUCUGUCUUCAGGGACGAUAAUGACGGUACCUGAGGAGGAAGCUCCGGCUAAC